Molecule: long non-coding RNA, 931 nt
Organism: Cynoglossus semilaevis (tongue sole)
Lineage: Eukaryota; Metazoa; Chordata; Actinopteri; Pleuronectiformes; Cynoglossidae
Exons: 3
Source: RefSeq, a predicted model, not a curated record
CUGUCAGCAGUACUUGUACAGAGCACCAUGCAGGAUGCUGUGAUAUUGGUCACCACGCUGCCAACACCGUGGCCCACCAUCACCAACACCAACUGAUGUGACAGAGACUAGGGCUGUAACUCAGUUCAGACUGAAGAUGUCUCUGAAGAGACGGCUGCUGUCCAUGUUGUUGUGCUGUGUUUACUGUGUGGCUUCACUCUUCUGCCUCCACCCGAAUCGCAACAACGGUGUCACUGUGAAAGCACGAAGUUUGCCAUCAGUCAUCCAUCAGGUUUACCAACAAAUCACUCAACUCUUCCGCACCGUUCUGUAAACUACAGCAAUUUCAGUGAACCUUUUGUGACCAAGCAGAGAUGUAAAGAGUUGUAAAACAUGGUUUCCUGUAGUGUAACAGCUUUAAGGAUACUAAUGGCAUCCCUACAUUAACGAUGUCUGCUGCCCUGAUUGGUGCACUACUUUACAUGAAAAUUCAUAGAAUUGAUUAUAUAAUUUUAAUCUAAAAAUGUGUACUUGAUUUUGAUUGGUGAAGGUAACAUAUGAUACGACCGAGUUAAGGAAAAGGCAAAUACUAAUGGCAAAAUGAUCCUAGAAAAUUUGAAAUUGUUCCAACAAAUCUCAAGACAGAGGCUGCUGCUGCCACAGUAAAAUAAAUACUUCAAUAUUUAAAAUGUGUUUGUCCAUUGCAUUUCAGACAAUCAAAUGUGUAGUAAAAUUACAAUUAGAUAAGAGGGAUCUGAGAGCUACACAAACGGUAAGUUUGAUAGUUACUUGCUUGAAUAAGCUAAGAAUAAAAUAUGCAUAAAUAUUAAUUACAAAAAAAUGACAAAUAGGGCUCAGAUCUAGUUCCUACUGAUUGCGACUUUCCUUUAAAACAUUUUUUUAAUAAUCCCUACACAUUUUUCAGUUCUAGAUAGAGAUUUCUACCACGUUA